CGGAGAGGGCGCAUGAGACAAGGGCCCAGGCCCUACGGGGCGCAGCAGGGGCGAAACCUCCACAAUGCACGCAAGUGCGAUGGGGUUACCUCGAGUGCCGCCUGAAGAAGGCGGCUUUUCCACGGUGUAAUGAGCCGUGGGAAUAAGGGGGGGGCAAGACUGGUGUCAGCCGCCGCGGUAACACCAGCCCCCCGAGUGGUGGGGAUGAUUAUUUGGCCUAAAGCGUCCGUAGCCGGCCCGGUAAAUCUCUCGUUAAAUCCAGCGUCCUAAGCGUUGGGCUGCGAGGGAGACUGCCGGGCUAGAGGGUGGGAGAGGUCAGCGGUAUUUCUGGGGUAGGGGCGAAAUCCAUUGAUCCCAGGAGGACCACCAGUGGCGAAGGCUGCUGACUAGAACACGCCUGACGGUGAGGGACGAAAGCUGGGGUAGCGAAUCGGAUUAUAUACCCGAGUAGUCCCAGCCGUAAACGAUGCAGGCUAGGUGUUGGGCCGGCCACGCGCCGGCUCAGUGCCACAGGGAAGCCAUUAACCCUGCCGCCUGGGGAGUACGGCCGCAAGGCUGAAACUUAAAGGAAUUGGCGGGAGAGCACCACCAGGGGUGAAGCCUUGCGUUUUAAUUGGAGUCAACGCCGGG
This 630-nucleotide ribosomal RNA is filed under the name uncultured organism. Its description in RNAcentral is "bacterial SSU rRNA". It matches the Rfam family "Archaeal small subunit ribosomal RNA", at positions 291 to 922 of the family's 1478-position model. The record is from RNAcentral.